UUGUCGAAACCUGCAAAGCAGAUACGACCCGCGAACAUGUUGUUUAACAAAGGGUGUUGUACCUGGCCCUGCCAUGGUGCUCCCCUAUGGGGGGAGGUGCGGACUGGAGGGGUGGGAUUUUUCCAUCCUCUCUUGCACGCACCGUCCUCCCAAAAAACAAAACCCCGGCGUGAAAUGCGCCAAGGAAUCGGAAAUGAUUAGAGAAGGGAGUGAGCGCCCCUGUGGUUCUGGGAACAGACCUCACGGGGGUGGUUGGCUUGCCUAUUCGAAAACUAAACGACUCUCGGCAACGGAUAUCUUGGCUCUCGCAUCGAUGAAGAACGUAGCGAAAUGCGAUACUUGGUGUGAAUUGCAGAAUCCCGUGAACCAUCGAGUUUUUGAACGCAAGUUGCGCCCGAAGCCUUCGGGCCGAGGGCACGUCUGCCUGGGUGUCAUGUAUCGUUGCCCCAUCCAACUCCCUCUGUGGGAGACAGGAGUAGGGGCGGAAAAUGGUCUCCCGUGCGCUCCCGCUCGCGGUUGGCCGAAAUAUGAGUCGUUGGUGACAGUGCCACGGCAAGCGGUGGUUGACAAGACCUUCGGAAAUUGCCAAGGCCAAGCCAACAAAAGGCUUCGAGACCCUGUUCAAUCCCAACAGCGACCCCAGGUCAGGCGGGAUUACCCGCUGAG
RNAcentral lists this ribosomal RNA (666 nucleotides) under Passiflora morifolia. Its description in RNAcentral is "eukaryotic LSU rRNA". The stretch from base 279 to 434 matches the Rfam family "5.8S ribosomal RNA". Lineage: Eukaryota; Viridiplantae; Streptophyta; Magnoliopsida; Malpighiales; Passifloraceae. The record is from RNAcentral.